GUCGUUUUAGUAUUUUGAUGCAAAAAAAUAUGAACUUUUUUUUUCAGUUUAUUUUUUUAUUGGUUGAAAUAUAGUUAUGUGUAUAAAUAAUAAUUUUUUCUAUGAAAAUAUACAAAGUUAAAUGUUUUCUUAAUUUGUGUGUAUAAAUUUAAAGUAACAUUUAAUAUGAAACAAAUAGAAUUAUUAUUUUAGUUAAGCAAUUGAUUGACUGUAUCGAGUCAUGCAACUUAGUCGAGUCAUAAAACUUGUCAAAUGUUUUCGACUUGCAGGCUUUACUUCUCCUCGUUAUUAUUUGAAGAUCUUUCCGUGUUCACAAUAAUUUAUUUACUCACACUACUUGGAACAAUAUAUUAUCGUAACCAAUAACAUAUGCAAGUUCUGACAUACUCCUCCGAUUAGAUGUCUAAAGCGUUGCCUAAGUGUCAUAACUAACUUGCAUAGUAAUCAUAACAUACACUGUUUUUAAGAAAUGCAUAUUCUAACUUUUUACAUAUAUUAAGAAAAUUAAUUAAUUAAUUUUUCAUAAUUUUUAACUAAUAGAAAUUCAAUAAAUACCAUUAAUUUUUUUUUUAAUUUAUAAUUUUUUAUAAAAUUAUAUAUUAAAAAAGUAAAAAAUAUAUCUUUUUAAAACAAUUUUUUUUUCCAAAACGUACAUCAACAAACGGAGUAUCUGCGAUAUCUUUCUUUACAGUUAAGGUUCUUGACUUAUAAUUAACCGACUAUGUUUCACAUCUUCUGCAAUAAGUUUCCUCCUCCCCCCCCCUUCCCCCCCCCCCCCCCCCCCCCCCAAAAAAGAGUUCAACCAGCUGGUCUCGAGAAACGAGCAAACCAGAGGGAUUCGUUAGCCAUAGCACAAAACGAUAAGGCAGGUGGCAAUAGUGAAUACGUGGAAGGAGAUGAGACAGGUUAGGUUUGGUGGUGACAGUUUUUUACUUGGGCGGGAAGAAUAAGGCGGGAAAGUGGGACCUGCAGAGUGGCAGGCGGCUAAAUGGCGAGAAAAGAGUCACGCGCCACCGUUUGCGUGACCCACUUAUCUUCUUUUUUUUUUUCCGUAAAAAAACAAUUCUAUUACUCAAACCUGAAGUUAUCUAGAUAACUAAACUAGAAAUAAAACAACAUUUUUUUUCUCUAUAAAUCCCAACUUUAUUUUUAUUUUCUUAUGUAAACAUCCAUCUUUUCGAGUCAAUUUCUUUAACUUCCUUAUAUUUUGUAUGUUUUUGUUGAGAUACAUUUUCACUUAAAUUGAAAUUAACUGUUUUGGAAAUAUAUAUAUAUAUAGUUUUUGAAGUACAAUAAUUUUACUUUAUGUUUUUUUUUUAACUUAAAUUAAAUUUUACUUUAUAUUUUCAGUAGAAACUUACACUAUUGAACUUAAAUUUUAUAUUGUGUCUUGUACUCAAACUGUUAAACUAUAUAUUUCCUCUGUUUUAUAAAUGUUAUCCUAACAUUUUUUUAUUACAUAAAAAUAUAACUUUAGAAUUUUAAUACAAAUUUUACAUAUUUUUAUUUUAAAAUUAAUUUCAAAAUGCAUUGAUUUUAUAAAUAAUUUUAUUUUAUUUCAAAAAUUAUUGGUCAAACAUGUAUAGUUAACAAAAAAAAAAAUUAUAUUUCAGUUUUUUUUUAAUUUGAUGAAAAAUGUCAAAAUGACACUUAUUUAAAAAUAAAGAGAGAGUAUUUUUUCAUAUUGGUAUUAAAUUUAUAGUCAAUGAUUUUUUCCAAAUUCUUAGCAUAACUUUAAAACAUUAUAUAUUUAUUUAGAUACAAUAACUAAGAUCUCUUGUUUGUAUUAUAAAAACAAAAUUUUUUUUAAUAUUUAUAUUUUGUAUCUUAUUAUCUUUGUUUUCUAAUUGUUUAUUUCAGAAAAUUUUGUUUUAAUCAUCUGUUAAUUCUUGGUUGUAGUUUUGCUUUAAUAUUUUGUUGAGUUUAGUUAACUUGAGUUUAUUGAAAAAUCAGUCGAGUUAUUUUAUUUUAUUUUAUUUGAUCUUGAUAAAUAACAUCCUGAAUGGAAUAUCUUUUUAUUCUUAAUUUUACUCAUAUGUUCUUAAAAAUUAUUUAUUUUAUUAUACUAUAUAUUUUAUUGAUUUCUAUUUUAAUUGUUUUCUAUUACUAUUCUUAUUUUCAAACUAUUUCAAAAAUAUAUAUUUUACUAUGUAUUCAUUUUUGGUUUUUGAGACUUUGUUGAUAAGUUUCCUGAUCUUAUCUCCAACUUUUCUCAUGGGAAACACGUUUGUCCUAUUUUCUACACUCUUUCUUGCUUUUCAGUUUUAAAUAUUGUAUUGUUUCUCCUAUGCUUGUAGACUCUGUUUCUCCUAUGUAUUUAUUUUCAAAUGACAAUUGUGUGAGCAAGAAGAUACACAGUUUUUUUUUUUUGCUAAAACAGAAGAUACACAGUAUUGAAGAAGGUAAUUAACUUUGUAUUUAUUAACGUUUAUGCGAUAAAAUAUUCAUUGUCUUUGUAGACUCAAUUUAGUUAUUUUGGAACAUAUAUUUUUCUCUCUCCUCUCUCCCUUAUCCUCUCGCGACAAAAACAAACCAACCAAGUUUUCAGAUCUGCUCUGGCGUUGUCCGGCGCGUUCGCGCGCGUCCGGCCGCCGGAGGCUUCCCUCCUUCUUUCUCUGUUUUCCUCUUUGCUUCCCGGUCACUCCCCUCCGCUGUUGCUUUGUUUCGGGCUCUGGUCAAGCGUCUCUUGUUGAUUCCGGUGACCGCUCGCGAGGUUCGUCGGAGUUUGCUAUCGAUUCAGCUUGUGUUGGAGUCAAGACGCGGUGGUGUGCAGUGGAUUUGGCUGUGGAGUCGGAUUUUUCGUGGCUGAGAGAGAGGAUUGCGUUUCCCCUUUUAAUCUCUCUCUGGCGACCUUCUUGCUCGGGAUGAUGGGGUUGGAGCGCUCCCCGGUUGGCUGUGGCGUGGCUACAGCGUUUCUCUGGUUGUGGCGUGCGGCUUCUUCGUUUGGAACCGGGAACCCUUACGGUGUCGUCGGGGUUCGUCUCCUCUUCGUUGGAGCCAAGGUCAGCUCCGGUGGUGGCUUCACUUCGGAGGUGAGGCGCGGUCUGGUAUGCAGGCGGGAUGAUGGUACCUGACCGAUUCCGACUCGUGUGGGAGUGCUGAGCAGAGUCCUACCCGGUCGUCUAUGGCCGGUUCAAGCUCUUUUUUUGUAUUUCACCUGACCUUUCAAUUUCAACAUCUCGUCAUCGGCUUGAUACCUUGGUUUGGUUGCGGCAGUUUCUAAUUCUAAGGUUGUUCUCUUGAGCUCUAUUCAUAUCACCGUAGACACCGGUGGUUAUUUUGCGAGUCACGGUCACUGCUUCUUCGGUUUUCGAAGGCGGCAAGAGACGUCCCGACUUUCGUCAUGGUCGCGGCGGUGUCCCUCUUGUGCUUAGCUCACAUCCCAGUACCGGAGAAGAUCACUUGAUUCUUCAUCGGUAGUGUUGCUUGGCUGACAUUUGUGCUAGUCGUUAGAGUCUUCUCUGUCGGUGUGUGGCAUGGAGGUCCGGCCCUUUUGGUAGUACAGGUUUGGUGGCGGCAGUAGCGAGCUCUUGCUCGGGUUGGGAGAUGGUUUCAAGCGUUGUGUGACGUUGCGUACUAGCUCGGCUUUGGUGGCUUGCAAGGCUCGUGGUAAGUAUCCGAAACACUCCCCUAUUAGUCGUCUUGCGCUUCAUUGUCAGUAACGGUUACAAACUCGGUGGAGUUCAUCGGAAGCUAGCUACUCCGGAGACGACGCGGGAAGUCCCGGCAUCCGAGGCAACAAGGAGAACCUCACCUUCUCUUGAUUCUCGUCGAUGGUAGAGAACGGCAACCGAUUUCAAAGGAAACCGAUAAACGGACUAGCGGAAUGUGCCGGGUUUAGUGGGCGGGCGAAGCUAGUGUUGUAAUAGGUUGAUUUUGGAAAUUUUGUUCGAAACGGGUUUGUAACUGGAUCUGAAAUUCCCGAUUCUCGGG
This 3933-nucleotide long non-coding RNA is filed under the name Brassica rapa (field mustard). Its description in RNAcentral is "long non-coding RNA (BRAP_LNC005441)". Lineage: Eukaryota; Viridiplantae; Streptophyta; Magnoliopsida; Brassicales; Brassicaceae. The record is from RNAcentral.